Molecule: ribosomal RNA, 245 nt
Filed under: uncultured bacterium
Lineage: Bacteria
Description: partial 16S ribosomal RNA
Rfam family: Bacterial small subunit ribosomal RNA
Source: RNAcentral
UACGUAGGGGGCGAGCGUUGUCCGAAUUUACUGGGCGUAAAGCGCGCGUAGGCGGACCUUUAAGUGGGGGGUGAAAUUCCGGGGCUCAACUUCGGAACUGCCUUUCAAACUGGAGGUCUUGAGGUAUGGAGAGGGAAGUGGAAUUCCUGGUGUAGCGGUGAAAUGCGUAGAUAUCAGGAGGAACACCCGUGGCGAAGGCGGCUUUCUGGCCAUAUCCUGACGCUGAGGUGCGAAAGCCAGGGGAG